Delphinapterus leucas (beluga whale) is the source of this 2092-nucleotide non-coding RNA. Lineage: Eukaryota; Metazoa; Chordata; Mammalia; Artiodactyla; Monodontidae. The record is from RefSeq and is a predicted model, not a curated record.
AGGCUUGACAAACUGUUUUCCUUGCCCUGUGAGCCGCCCGCGGAUAAAUCUUUGCACCAGGAGUCAGAAAACUUAAGAUUCCGGUCCCGGAUCUGCCACCAACAAGCUGGGCUGCUCCCUGAAAAAGUCGCAUCCCUCUGUAACAAAAGCGGUUACAGAGGAAAGUGUCGGACCCAGAGCGCGCGGGGAGCAGAGUGAGAACGGGAAGCCGAACCCCCGGGCUCCCUGCGAUCGCGUCCCGCGACGGCGGACGCGCUUUCCGCCAGCGCGGGGCCGACUGCAGCGGGGCUCUGAGGGUCCCGGCCCCAAAGCCGGCCCCCGGCCGAGCCCAAACCCCCGACUUACGUUUCUCUGCGCCCCGGAAUCUUCGAAGGCUGUCCCGGCCCGAGCUGCAGCAUGUCCCAACCGACCCCGGCACGGCCCGCUGCAACCCUUCCGGGCAGAACUGCACCUACGCCGGCCGUUUCCCCGCUCGUUGCCGGGGCAACGGGUCGGCGACGGAGCGCCGCGAGGGCCAAGCCUCCUGCAGCGCGAUUACUAGACGCGCAGAGAGGAAAAAGAAGGCUGUGUUUUUCUCUGGUGCCCCCGCGUGAUGGGCGGGAGCUCAAUCGCAAACGUCGCUAGUCCUGGAAACAGGCAAGGAAAGAGGAAAAGAAUCCAUUCACUACACCAAAUUUAGGAUAAAGAUUCUGCCGGUGGAGCGCUCCCGACCGCCUUUUCUUUGGUGCUGCCUGAUUCAAAUCACGCUCGGGCUGGUUUCCCACGGCUGAACUUCUGAAGACAGGCCUCACCACGUGCAAAUGGCACACUUUCUAGAAAACAGGUGGUGUAUGAGACCCUCGCUUUUAGGAUCAAAGUGUAAUUCUUGGACCAUGACAACAGCUGGGGAAGGGACGUCAGAGGUUCUUCCCUAGCUCCCUCUGGGGGCUGAGGCCCCAAAACACGUCUCUGUGACAAGUUCCCCCGCUGGAUCUGACGUCACCACAGCUGGUAAACCACCUGGGCCAGUGUGGUGGAGCUCACCCCAUCCAAAUUCCUCUGUUUAUACGGGGGGGCUGAGGCCCAGAGAUGGAGAGGUCCUGCCCAAAUGAGGUAAGUGGCAGAGCCAGUGUCUCUAGUGAGAGCAGCUGGUGGCCUCAGCAUGUGGAGGUGGAAACAGAAGCUGCAAAGAAGAGAAGACUUGGCCAGCACCUGCUUAGCACUUACUGAACAUCUACUGUCCUGUGUGACUUCCCCUUGUCCUCAGUGUCUCUAGGAAUUAUGGGUUAUCACAACUCCACUUUUCAGAUGGGGAAACUGAGGCUUAGUGUGGUUGGCCUGUAUGGUGUAAGUCAGACCUCACCACCCCAGAGCCCAUGCCGGUUCCAUCCUGCUGGGCUGUCAGAUCUGGGCACAGUCCACCGAGAUGGGGCCUCAAGCCAGUCCUGUGUUUUCCAUGCCUUUCCCAAACAUGGGCACCCACUGGCCAUGCCUGGAUGGCAGAGAGCCUCCACUUCCUAAGUUCCUAAGUUCAAGGUGACUGGUGGAUGGUGUCGGGCAGCUCCCUUCUGUGCUUAACCUUGAGGCUUCCUCAGCUCCCCCUCUCCUUCCACGUGAAGCCACACCAUGAACAAGCCGCUGGACCUGGCACGGUCUGGGCCCUGGCCAAUUCCACCAAGCACACUAGCCUUUUCUUUAAGUCUCACGGCCAGUGUUUCUGCUGUGCUGUUCCUCUGCCUAGAAGGCUGUUUCCCCUUCUAACUUCUCCUCAUCCUUCAGGUCUUGGUGUAAAUGCCCCUUCCUCUGAGAAGCCCUCCCCCAGCCCCGCUGACUGGGUCAGGUCACCUGGCCUCAGAACACACUGGAUUUUUCCUCCAUAGUGUUCACUGCAGUGUUAAAGAAAUAAUUUUAAAAAUUAACAUCCUGCCCACACUAGACCGUGAACUUCAUGAAAGCCAGGGACCUGGCUAUCUGGUUCCUGCUGUGUGUCCCAGCCUCUGCUCUACUGCUUGGUACACAGUGGGUGCUUAAUAAAUACCUAGAGAGUGGGUGAAUGAAACUAUGGCAAGUGGAGCACUAUGUCCUCAUAGUCGGGGGGGAGUGGGGACAUGGG